GGUUCAGUGGUGUAGUUGGUUAUCACGUCUGUCUCACACACAGGAGGUCUCCGGUUCGAGCCCGGACUGAACCA
This 74-nucleotide transfer RNA is filed under the name Fomitopsis schrenkii. RNAcentral describes it as "tRNA-Val (CAC) (tRNA-Val-CAC-1-1)". It matches the Rfam family "tRNA". Rfam says of the family: Transfer RNA (tRNA) molecules are approximately 80 nucleotides in length. The record is from RNAcentral. Lineage: Eukaryota; Fungi; Basidiomycota; Agaricomycetes; Polyporales; Fomitopsidaceae.